CGUGUCCUACUUUUCCUUUUUUUUUUUUUUUGUUAGAGAACAAAAUUACCAAAAACAAACAUAACAUAUGUUCAUGAACAUUAAGCAUAUGGUCAACGAGAAAUGUGUGAUCUAGGUAAAGUAAUUGCACUGUCAGCUUUUCGCAGAUGCUUUUUUUCUCCCAUUUCAAUUCAGAUCAACAUUUUAUUGUAUGUCUACUCUAUAUAAGGCACUGCAUUAGAAAUCCUUUCUGCAGAGAACUGGGAGAUGCUUUCUUCCAAGAGAGAAAAAGCAAACAGGGCAGAUGUAGGAAGAGGUACGAGCAGACUUCCAGCAGUGAGUGGUCUCUCCUGAACAAUCACAAAUUCAGAGAAUAUUAAACCAGAGGAGAAAUGUAGAGACUCUUUAGUUCACUUGUUAAUUUGCCAAUUUAUAUAACUAACAGAUAUGUAGUGGGUACAAUUUAUGUGUCAGGAUUUAUAUAAGGCAAAGUGUGGCAUGGUAGCAUUCAGUUGUGCAAUCAAUCCUGGAAACACAGAAAAAUGAGGAAUUUCAUUUAUCCCCACUCUCAUGUCAGCACUCAUCUGCUAUUAAGUGCACUAAGUAUGAGCAUAUUUUCUUUAAAGUAGGCAGUUCUGUGACUACAGAUAUUAGAGCUUGCAGGGACGAAUCAAUGAAAAUAGAAGAAUUCUUCAGCACUAUAUACUAUCCAAAACUCUUACAGUCAAAAUAUGUGAAUCUGAUUUCCUUUAUCACAUGGAAAUUUCACCUGACUGAAUAUUUUGAACCACUGGAGUGAUAUGCUGAAAAUUUUCCUAAUACACCCAGAUGUACUCCUAACAGAACUAGACUUAAUGUUCUCAUUAUUUUUCUAGUUUCUAAAUCUGUGAACUUUGUCUACUGUUAUAUCUUCAUGAUUUUACCUAGUUAUAAUUGGCACAGUAAGUCCUCUAGCAGACCUAUGAAAAUAUUCCCUUAUAUAUGUGUAAACAGCAUAAGUUAAAUUAAAUACUGCAUGUCAUAUAUCAAAAAUACUGGAACUAAUCUCUUGAGAAUUAUAUUUGCUCUUUAAAUGAGCAGCUAUUCAAUCACUAAUAAAAUAUCAAUUACCAAAAGAUAUGAAUUACAAAUAAAUGGAUUAAAUAUCUCUAAAUUAUCUUCAAUGUUAUUUUUCUGAGACUGUAUUAGACAAGUAUUUACUCUUUUAACAUGUCAUUAAUGGACUUGUUAAAAAAAAUCAAUCUCUUGAAAAUUAGAUAACUAGGACCCUCCAAUAUAUAGUUAGUACAGUUACUAUGAUACAUAUUACUCAGCUCUAGUUAUUUUUUUGAGUGGUCACAUUUGUUAGUGCUUAAAAAAAGUUGUGCAUAAUUUUACAUCUAAAAAUUACCCAAGAUAUCUGUCUGUCUAUCUAGCUAUCUACCUACCUGCUAUCUGUCUUUCUUACAUUAAGAAAUACAAAAUGUUUGUAUCAUAUAGUAUAGAUAUACAUUAGUUAAAAUUAAAGCAAAUAACAAAAAAUAACACAAUUCAUUUGCUGCCUUUAUUUUCCCAAAGUGGAAAAAAAUACAUAUGCUGGUGCUGGAAAGAACACCUGAAGAGAAAUAUGGGCUAGAUAUUUAAUAUUUAUGUAGCAAUGAAAUUAAACCUAUACAUGGCAUACAUGUAUACUUUUAAACUUGAUUUGCCCAGAAUUGAUGAUAAAAUUCAUAUUUCUGUAUACUGUGAAGUAGAUAUUCUAUUGAAAAAUGAUUUGAACAUGUUUAGGUCCUAGCCCCAGCUCUGUGUCACUAGCUAUGUAAUUUUUAGUAAAUUAUGUAAUAUAGGCUUUUCAAGAGUAUAUCAAGUAAAAAAAAUAAAAUUUUCAUAUAAAAAGUGGUUUAAGAACUUCUGUCUUUGAUUACUUUUCAAAAGUUAAUAUCUGAUCACACUAGAAUGUAGUUUGAUUUGUAGAGAUAAUAAGAAUAGGACAUUUGGUUUUCUGAUGCCUAACAACCAAAUGCCAGAUUCAAGUUGUCACUCUCCUUCUUCCUGAACUUAAAUAAUAAGAAUAUGGAAAGUAUAUACUAGUUUACUUUAUUUCCAGUCUCUUAAAUAUUAUAUGAUAAUUUAUAAAUCCUUGUAUUACUAAUAUGUUACUCCCUUCAAGUGGUUGUUUAUACCACUUUUAACAUUGUCACUUAUAAGAAUCAGUGUUUUCUUAGUUCUAGCCUAGUUUCUCUUAUGACUGAUGCAAUAUCUAUGAUUUUCCCCAAGUCUUAGGUGUCAUUGGAAACACAUAUGCAGAAAAUCAAGUUUCUGAUGGGUGCAUAGAUACAGGAGUGGUCACUCCUUUGCAGAUCAAAUAAAUGAGGAGUUCCCUGACAAAGCAGAGACUUCUAGUGCUCACUGUUUCUGAUUUCCUUCCUCUUGGUUUGAAGAAAAACAACACUCUCAGCCCCUUUGAUUUUGAACAGAAACAUGAUUAGCCUAGCAAAUGACAAACGUUACUUCUGGCUGAAACUCUUAAGAGCCAAUGUACUAGUUCCAUAUUCCCUUUCCCCCUACACUGAUCAUCUUGGAAUCCUUGUGGUACAAUGACACCACCAUGAAAAGGAGAUGCUACUUGGCAAAGCACAUUCUGAGAGUUAUCAAAUGUUGUAUCAUCAAGUAAUAACAAAGCUCCUGAGUUUAUCUGUUGCAGAGGGUUUAUCUGUUGCAGCAUCUAGUUAGUUAUACGCCCUGACUAAUGCAUCUGUGACCAUCUGUGAGAAAUACGUGAAAGCAUAGGAAAAGAAAAAGUCCUCACAUAUAUCUAUGCAUCACAGUAUUGGCUCCGGAAAAGAAAUUAAAAGGUGAUUUCUUCCAUGCAUCAAGUGUGUUUCAAAACUACAAAUCCCUACAAGAGGUGCAGAGGAGAUAAAUAAGCCAGUAAGACAGGUGAUUUGAUCCUAGAGAUGGCAGGAAUAAGAGAGGUCAGAAUGUUACAAUGUCUGAAAUAGGUAAGAACACAUUUUAUUUCAUAUUCAGUGUGCCUAAUGUCUUUAAUUUCGUAAAGACAGACCAGAAAUUUGCUUAGAUUUCUUCAUUUUAUAAUUUAAUCUAUUCUUGGAACUGACUGAGCACAAGGUCCAUAUGUAAUGAUAACCAUAAUGCUUCCCUUUGGGUAAAUGGGAGAUACAAGUUCUGCAUGUGUGAAAACAGUAUCACCAAGAUCAUCAGCUUUGACUGUACAAAAUGCUGGAUUCAUCUUAACAUCUGCAUUCCAAGGAGAGAACGAUAAGGAAACUUUGAUAUAGCUUCAAAGACAUAUGGAAGAUGAAGUUUUAUAUGUCAGGUAUACUCAAUGUAAUUCACAGAUUUUUAAAUUUUAAUUUAGGUACCAGAUUAAUGUUUUGAAGAUUACUGAGAUGCAUUUUUAAUCUCUAGAAAUGGGGUUAGAUAGAAUUUGCCUUCCAUGUGGCAGUGAAAGAAUUCUAAGAAGUAGGCUGAUACCUCUCAACUCUGUCUUCAACUUGUCAUAUUUUUGUGGAAGAAGAAACUAAAGUGAUUUAAGUAAGAAACAUGUAAUGGCAACCUUUAAUUUUGGCAACCUUUAUUUUGACAUAAAAUGUUUCUUUUCUCCUAAAGUAAAAACACAGAAUGGAAAGUUUCAAUACCAGUUACUGGAUUAUAAAUGACCCAUAUGAUAAUCCUCAAUUGUGUCUGUGUGCUUGUGCAACAGUGAUGUAGAUAAAUGAGAAGUGCAGAAUGAUUAGAAGCCUAAAGACCAGACUUACUCCUUAGUUAUUAUUCCAAUAGAGAAGCCUAGUAUGGUUUUAACUUAGAGUCAAAAUUAAUUAGAAUAUGAAAAUGUGAUUGAUUUUUAUAUAUUGAUCUUAUAUCUUACAACCUUGCUAAACUCACUUAUAAGUUCUAGUAACUUUUUUUUUUUAUAAUUUCUUUGAUGAUUUUCUUAGGAUAAUUAUUAGGUUGAGUAAAAAUAUAGUUUUUCUUUCUUUCAAGCCUGUCUGCCUUUGCUUUUGUUUUACUGCUUUAUUGGACAGGCUAGGACAUUUGCCAUAAUGUUGAAUUUUAUGAGGAAGGCAUUCAUCCUUGUCUUGUUCCUGAUUUAACAGGAAGAGAACUCGAUCUUUAGCCCUUAAGAAUGAUGUCAAUUGUAACAUUUUUUUUGAAAUGUCUUUUAUUAUGUUAAAAAAAUUCACUUUAAUUUCUAGAUAUCUGAGGGGUUUUUUUUUUGUCAUGAAUACACGUUCACUUUUAUCAAAUGCCUUUUCCACAUCUAUUUAAAGGAUAAUAUAGCUUUUCUUUUUCAGUCUUUUGGAAUGGUGAAUUAUAUUGAUUGAUUCUGAAUAUUGAAACAACCUUAUAUUCCCAUUAUCAAAACCAAUUGGACAUGUUUUAUUAUCACUUUAAGUUGAAUUCAAGUUUUUAAUAUAUUGUUGAUUUUUUUAUCAUACCUUUUUUUAUGAGAAUAAUGGCAGGUACUGGAGAGGAGACAAAGCAACAGGAACACACAUUUUGAAUAGGAAUGAAACAUGAUACAGUUGCUGUGGAAAAUGGAUAGAUUGUUUCUUAUAAAUUGAUACAUUUGCUUAGAUAACCAAAAAUCUCACUCCUAGAAAAUUAACCAAGAGAAAAGCAAACUUAUGCUAAAACAAACUGUUCAUGAAGUUGCAUAGUAGCUUUACUCAUAAUUACCCCAAAUUGGGAACCACUCAAAGUCUUCCAAUUAGUGAAUGGGUAAACAACCUAUUAUAUUUCCAUACAGUGCAAUAUGUAAAAAGAAUGAUCUAUUGAGUCACACAACAUAGAUCAAUCUCAAAAGC
RNAcentral lists this long non-coding RNA (4787 nucleotides) under Sus scrofa (pig). RNAcentral's name for it is "lncRNA (ENSSSCG00050063703.1)". Lineage: Eukaryota; Metazoa; Chordata; Mammalia; Artiodactyla; Suidae. The record is from RNAcentral.